CAGGGCCUAACACAUGCAAGUCGAACGAAGGCUUCGGCCUUAGAGGCGCACGGGUGCGUAACGCGUGGGAAUCUGCCCUUGGGUUCGGAAUAACUCGCCGAAAGGCGUGCUAAUACCGGAUGAUGACGUAAGUCCAAAGAUUUAUCGCCCAAGGAUGAGCCCGCGUAGGAUUAGCUAGUUGGUGAGGUAAGAGCUCACCAAGGCGACGAUCCUUAGCUGGUCUGAGAGGAUGAUCAGCCACACUGGGACUGAGACACGGCCCAGACUCCUACGGGAGGCAGCAGUGGGGAAUAUUGGACAAUGGGCGAAAGCCUGAUCCAGCAAUGCCGCGUGAGUGAUGAAGGCCUUAGGGUUGUAAAGCUCUUUUACCCGGGAUGAUAAUGACAGUACCGGGAGAAUAAGCUCCGGCUAACUCCGUGCCAGCAGCCGCGGUAAU
This 436-nucleotide ribosomal RNA is filed under the name uncultured bacterium. RNAcentral describes it as "bacterial SSU rRNA". It matches the Rfam family "Bacterial small subunit ribosomal RNA", at positions 43 to 524 of the family's 1533-position model. The record is from RNAcentral.